UUUAAGCAAAAAAAAAUUUUGAUUUUAUUUUUAUCAACAUAAACUAUAAGAUUAAUCAAGCCAAUUGAGAGAAAAAUUGUUUACAUGACAAGAAGAUCAGUAGAUGCAAACCAGGCGAGAGUAUGGUAAGAAGGGAACGAAACUUCUUCUUCUCAUCCGUCUUUGUCUUGUGUUCGCUUCCCAGAUCCUUGGUUGGUUUGUUGAAGAGAUGUUUGACAUAUAUUUAUAAGCAAAACAAAAUUGAGUGUGA
This 250-nucleotide long non-coding RNA is filed under the name Capsella rubella. RNAcentral's name for it is "long non-coding RNA (CRUB_LNC005088)". Lineage: Eukaryota; Viridiplantae; Streptophyta; Magnoliopsida; Brassicales; Brassicaceae. The record is from RNAcentral.